This is a small nuclear RNA of 90 nucleotides. Its record names the gene U2. It matches the Rfam family "U2 spliceosomal RNA". Rfam says of the family: U2 is a small nuclear RNA (snRNA) component of the spliceosome (involved in pre-mRNA splicing). The record is from Ensembl.
AUCGCUUCUUGGCCUUUUGGCUAAGAUCAAGUGUAGAUAAAUUCAAUAAUAGCUUAUUUUUAAAUUCCCAUUAAUGGGAUCAAAAUCAUU